This 252-nucleotide long non-coding RNA is filed under the name Nicotiana benthamiana. RNAcentral's name for it is "long non-coding RNA (NBEN_LNC001298)". Lineage: Eukaryota; Viridiplantae; Streptophyta; Magnoliopsida; Solanales; Solanaceae. The record is from RNAcentral.
AUUGUUUCUCAAAAAAUACCUAGAAAAUGCUGCAACAAUAAGUUCUGUCUAUUACUAUAUCUGAAGCUCAAAUGAGGAUUGCUACAAAUGAGAACUCAGUCAAUGGAAAGCCAACUCAUAUACCCUAAAGGCACUUUUUUUAUAAGAGGACAAAGAACAAACAACAUUAAUUCAAAUUAUUACACAACCCUUGUGCUGAUAUUAAGCUUAACACACAAACUAUAUAUGUUGGAUUCUUAAAAGAACAGCACA